Ricinus communis (castor bean) is the source of this 1687-nucleotide RNA transcript. RefSeq lists it as uncharacterized. The transcript is spliced from 8 exons. The record is from RefSeq and is a predicted model, not a curated record. NCBI's taxonomy places the organism in Eukaryota, Viridiplantae, Streptophyta, Magnoliopsida, Malpighiales, Euphorbiaceae.
CAUCAUUCACUUCCUUAGACGCUUCCAUUGAUGCAAAAGUCAGAAACUAGAGUAACAGAAACUGACAGCUGAGAGAGAAAGAGUCAUAAAUCAUAAUUAAAUGAAAAUCCUAAAAUUCUCAUUCUUAAAUUUGUACAUAAUUUAAUUUAAUCUGAAUAAUCUCUUUUUCUCUCUUUCUCUCUGUUCGUGUGGGUCAAAUAUCAAUGGCCGACGAUGAUGCUUCUCCUCUAAUACCUCCUUCUCCGAUUACCGAACCUUCUGAGAUCGACCUUGAAGCUGGCCCCGGCGAGCAAAUUCAGUGCCGUAUUUGCCUCGAAACUGACGGUAGGGAUUUUAUCGCGCCAUGCAAAUGCAAAGGAACAUCAAAGUAUGUACAUCGGGAAUGUUUGGACCAUUGGCGAGCUGUGAGGGAAGGGUUUGCAUUUGCUCAUUGCACAACCUGCAAAGCCCCUUAUCAUUUGAGAGUUCAUGUUGCUGCAGACAGGAAGUGGCGUACUCUGAAAUUUCGGUUCUUUGUGACUAGGGACAUUGCAUUUAUAUUUUUGGCUGUUCAGCUUGUAAUUGCUUCACUUGCAUACUUGGUGUAUUUAAUUGAUAGUUAUCAGCAAUCCUGGCUUCGCCAUACAUGGGGCUUUGAUAAUGAGCUUAGUUUCUACUAUAUAUGUGGAGCAUUGUUGUUUUUUGCUUUGCUGGGGCUAUCUGGGUGCUUCAUCACAUGUUAUGAUCGAAGAGUUCGCAGUGAUUUGGCUCAACCUUGUCGAGAAUUAUGUCUCUGUUGCUGUCAGCCUGGAAUGUGUGCAGACUGCCAUUUACCUGGCACGCUUUGUAUGUGGACUGACUGUACCACUUGCUUUGAGAGCUGUGCAAGUGCUGCUGGUGAAUGUGGUUGCUUGGGAGGUGCUGGUGAAGCAGGGCUGCCAUUGUUAUUUAUAAUGGCUCUGGUUGUGCUGGGACUAUUUACUGUGAUUGGCAUAUUCUACAGUGUUUUGGUAGCUACUAUGGUUGGUCAACGAAUUUGGCAGCGGCAUUAUCACAUACUUGCAAAAAGGAUGCUAACAAAAGAAUAUGUGGUUGAGGAUGUUGAUGGCGAGAUGACAGGCUCUGAUUGGUCUCCUCCUCCUCUCCCACCUGAGCAUGUUCAGCAGCUGAAACAUCUGGGUCUCCUAUGAGUAAAAGGGGCGACGUAUCAUUGAUCACAAGAAUAACAUACUGUAGAGAUGGACUGGUACUCUAUUUUGGUAGGGGCACAGCUAUUGUUUCCUUACUGAUAAGUAUGCAGGCAGGUGAAGUGACCAAGCAACCACCACCAACUAUGUAGAUGACAUGUGCAGGUUGAAACAAGGCUGACAGGCAAAAGGGCAGGGGGAUGGAGGUAUUUUGUUUUUGGUGAUUUGAUUUUUCUUUUAUUUUUUUGUUUAUUUUCAAUUCACAAGUUCUGUUUCGUUAGGUAGAUUCUUAGUACAUAAUUAUUGUUUACAGUUCUUAUCUUGUGUUUUAGGAAUCUGUCUAUGUGCCCUUUAGAAAAAAAAAAAGAAAAGAAAGAAAAAGAAGAAAGGAAUCUGGAUUAGGUACAUUGGAUUAUGUCAAACUUGUAUAUUUGGCCAUUCAGAACACAACAAACUGUAAAAUUGACUUCACGCAUUGUCUAUGUUGAUAAUAUUUCUAAUGAAAUGUUUGGCCAUCCAAA